Molecule: transfer RNA, 70 nt
Filed under: Pseudoplesiops annae (Anna's dottyback)
Lineage: Eukaryota; Metazoa; Chordata; Actinopteri; Pseudochromidae
Description: tRNA-Val
Rfam family: tRNA
About the family: Transfer RNA (tRNA) molecules are approximately 80 nucleotides in length.
Source: RNAcentral
CAGGGCCUAGCUUAAAGUAAAGCAUCUCCCUUACUCCGAGAAGUUCCUUGUUCAAAUCAAGUGGCCCUGA